AUGAGAACUAGGGGUUGCAGCUUUGGCUGCUACUCCGAACACUCCACCCUUUGUUUACAUUACCUUUGUUGCUUUAGCAGGCCCGCUUUUGGCCGCCGGCACCUGCUGGUCAGUGCCUGCUAGAGGACCUAAAACUCAUUUUAAUUUAUUGUCUGAGUACUAUAUAAUAGUUA
RNAcentral lists this unclassified non-coding RNA (173 nucleotides) under uncultured Helotiales. RNAcentral's name for it is "sequence contains ITS1". Lineage: Eukaryota; Fungi; Ascomycota; Leotiomycetes; Helotiales. The record is from RNAcentral.